GGUUCUGCUUAUGUAAUGAGAUCUCAACCAAUGAACGGACCAAGUACAGACAAAUAUAAGGUAAACAUACAUUAAUAGAGUGAGAAAUGUAAAUGAGUGAAAAUUAACUGUUGCUUAUCUUAUGUCUACUAUUUAGUUUAAAAUUGAGAAUGGAAAUUUGGAAUGUGUAUUUAUUUGGCGACAAAAUGAAUAUAAACAUGCACCUUAAUAAUCUGUCAUCAAGAGCUAAUGCACGACAAGUUUAAGGGGGACUAUCGAACAAGCACAACCCAAUGGACAGGGGUCAGUCUUUCCCAAGACCUGAGCAAUGGCAGGCAAAACUAUAAAGCAAGCAGCAAGUUGUAACAGUUUUAUACAAUAACAGAUCUAAAUAAUGAUAAUGUCAAAAUAAUAAACAAAUAAUUAAAAUCCAAAUGUUCUAAAUUAUAAAGUCACUAAUCCAAAAUCAAAGUAAAGUUGAAGGUUCUAAAUGUCCAAAGUUAAGGUUUAAUUAAAAUAAUUCCACUAAACAUUUCAUUAUCACUUGAAGUCCAAAGAUUGGUUGAGUUGAGUUGAUCUAGUUUGAGUUUUUUUUUCCUCAUAUUCAUGGUUUAGUGAUCAGCGUUUAGUGUUUGUGUUUUUCAUAGAUACCAUAAAUAACAGGUUCAACUGUAUUUGGUGAAUAGAAUGAUUUUGAAAGGUGUACAUGGCAGAGUUCGACCGUGACCUCAACUCCCUACCAAAUACUUCUAUAUUCUAAAACAUUAUCACCAUGUGUUUAAUUUCCAUCACAUUUUUUAUCGGGAACUACAAACAACAACGUUCUGAUUGUUUUUAUCAGGUUAAUUGUGAUCAUGUAAUCUGUUAUCAUGUUGUAAAACUAGUCUUUUGUUUUUUAUAACCAGAUUGAGGCUGCACAAACAGGUGAUGUCUUAGCUGGUACACCUGAUGAAAUGAACCAGUGGGACAGACGAGGGAAUCCAUCAUUGUCCAUGUGGAGAAGUUGAUGACAUUAUGUUACAAGUCAGCCAUCCGUCCCAUUACCAAGCACAAUACGUUUAUAAAACAAUGUAAAAUGUGAUAUGGUAAUAUUGAAGCAUAUGUUUAUAAAACAAUGUAAAUUGUGAUAUGGUAAUAUUGAAGCAUACAUUCCUGUCAUCAUUUACAUACACAUAAAAUACAUUUUAUAUAUUUUUAUGUAAAUAAAAAAAUGUACUAAGAUUUAUUUAUACAGUUGUUUAUCAUAAUAUUUAUAUUUGUUUCUGUAUGAAGGUGACACAUCAUGGUUUUUUCAUGUGUUGUUUAUUGUGUUCAAACACUGGUGUGAUUAAACAAUUACCAGUGUUAGUUUUAAUCAUCUUAAUUAUAGAUAGAUGGUUGAUUUUGUACAAGCUGUUCAAUUUGCAGUGCACUUUGUAGACAAGACAAGACAAUAAUUUAUUUUGUAUGUAAAUAUAUCAAAUAGGAAUUAUUUCACAGUAUUCAUCACAAAUACAGAUUUUUUUUGGCAAGAAAAUCUAAAUUGCCAAUGGCUGUGUUCCAGACCAUAUGAGUAUUUGGACCGUACGCGUAUGGUCUGGACCGUAUGCGUACUUUUUCAAAAUAUGCAUACGGUCGGACCGUACGCGUACGGUCUGACUGAUAUUAAGAAGUUGGUCAAGCUUAUUAGAUACAAAUGUAUAUAACAGAUCAACAUGACUUAUAUCUCCAAUUAAUAUAAAAAGUU
RNAcentral lists this long non-coding RNA (1705 nucleotides) under Mytilus galloprovincialis (Mediterranean mussel). The record is from RNAcentral. Lineage: Eukaryota; Metazoa; Mollusca; Bivalvia; Mytilida; Mytilidae.